Molecule: unclassified non-coding RNA, 309 nt
Filed under: plant metagenome
Description: partial contains 5.8S ribosomal RNA, internal transcribed spacer 2, and large subunit ribosomal RNA
Rfam family: 5.8S ribosomal RNA (bases 1-105)
Source: RNAcentral
GAAAUGCGAUAAGUAGUGUGAAUUGCAGAAUUCAGUGAAUCAUCGAAUCUUUGAACGCACAUUGCGCCCCUUGGUAUUCCAUGGGGCAUGCCUGUUCGAGCGUCAUUUGUACCCUCAAGCUCUGCUUGGUGUUGGGUGUUUGUCCCGUCUCCGCGCGUGGACUCGCCCCAAAGUGAUUGGCAGCCGGCGUACUGGUCCCGGAGCGCAGCACAUGUCGCGCAAACGAGUGCCUUGGUACGGCGGCGUCCAUAAGCCCCUCUCUCACGCUCUUGACCUCGGAUCAGGUAGAGAUACCCGCUGAACGUAAGC